This 460-nucleotide ribosomal RNA is filed under the name uncultured bacterium. Its description in RNAcentral is "partial 16S ribosomal RNA". It matches the Rfam family "Bacterial small subunit ribosomal RNA", at positions 338 to 795 of the family's 1533-position model. The record is from RNAcentral.
CCUACGGGUGGCAGCAGUGAGGAAUAUUGGUCAAUGGACGCGAGUCUGAACCAGCCAUGCCGCGUGCAGGAAGACUGCUCUAUGAGUUGUAAACUUCUUUUGUACGAGGGUAAACCCAGAUACGCGUAUCUGUCUGAAAGUAUCUUACGAAUAAGGAUCGGCUAACUCCGUGCCAGCAGCCGCGGUAAUACGGAGGAUUCGAGCGUUAUCCGGCUUUAUUGGGUUUAAAGGGAGCGUAGGCGGUCGGUUAAGUUAGAGGUGAAAUCUCGAGGCUCAACUUCGGAAUUGCAUCUGAUACUGUGCGAAUAGAGAGUAGUUGCGGUAGGCGGAAGGUGUGGUGUAGCGGGGAAAUGCUUAGAGAUCAUACAGAACACCGAUUGCGAAGGCAGCUUACCAAGCUACUUCUGACGUUGAGGCACGAAAGUGUGGGGAGCAAACAGGAUUAGAUACCCCAGUAGUC